GGUAUGUACUAGCCUGCCGAUUCCUCCUUCUUGUAGAACCGUAAUGCCAUUAAUUUGGUGUUGCGGGGAAACAGGACUGUUACUUUGAAAAAAUUAGAGUGUUUAAAGCAGGCUAGCGCCUGAAUACAUUAGCAUGGAAUAAUGAAAUAGGACGUUCGAACCUAUUUUGUUGGUUUCUAGGAUUGACGUAAUGAUUAACAGGGAUAGUUGGGGGCAUUAGUAUUCAACUGUCAGAGGUGAAAUUCUUGGAUUUAUUGAAGACUGACUACUGCGAAAGCAUUUGCCAAGGAUGUUUUCAUUAAUCAAGAACGAAAGUUAGGGGAUCGAAGACGAUCAGAUACCGUCGUAGUCUUAACCAUAAACUAUGCCGACUAGGGAUCGGAUGAUGUUAAUUUUUUAAUGACUCAUUCGGCGCCUUACG
Molecule: ribosomal RNA, 421 nt
Filed under: uncultured Glomeromycotina
Lineage: Eukaryota; Fungi; Glomeromycota
Description: SSU rRNA
Rfam family: Eukaryotic small subunit ribosomal RNA
Source: RNAcentral